RNAcentral lists this ribosomal RNA (413 nucleotides) under uncultured Acinetobacter sp. RNAcentral describes it as "bacterial SSU rRNA". It matches the Rfam family "Bacterial small subunit ribosomal RNA", at positions 1 to 419 of the family's 1533-position model. The record is from RNAcentral. Lineage: Bacteria; Pseudomonadati; Pseudomonadota; Gammaproteobacteria; Moraxellales; Moraxellaceae.
GUCAGAGUUUGAUCCUGGCUCAGAUUGAACGCUGGCGGCAGGCUUAACACAUGCAAGUCGAGCGGAGAUGAGGUGCUUGCACCUUAUCUUAGCGGCGGACGGGUGAGUAAUGCUUAGGAAUCUGCCUAUUAGUGGGGGACAACAUUUCGAAAGGAAUGCUAAUACCGCAUACGCCCUACGGGGGAAAGCAGGGGAUCUUCGGACCUUGCGCUAAUAGAUGAGCCUAAGUCGGAUUAGCUAGUUGGUGGGGUAAAGGCCUACCAAGGCGACGAUCUGUAGCGGGUCUGAGAGGAUAAUCCCCCGACACUGGCACUGAGAUACGGGCCAGACUCCUACGGGAGCAGCAGUGGGGAAUAUUGGGCAAUGGAGGAAACUCUGACCCCAGCGACGCCGCGUGCGGGAUGAAGGCCUUC